RNAcentral lists this long non-coding RNA (785 nucleotides) under Homo sapiens (human). Its description in RNAcentral is "long non-coding RNA NONHSAT200584.1". The record is from RNAcentral. Lineage: Eukaryota; Metazoa; Chordata; Mammalia; Primates; Hominidae.
GCUGGUUGCUGACCCCACACUCCUCAAGUCCUCUGUCUGCAGGAUACUAGGAUGCUGACCUUUCAUCAUUCCACUGACGUUAUGUGGCCUAAAAUCCUCAGCCUGAAAUGAGUUAAGGAAGGACUGAAGACAAAAGAAACUAUGGGCUGCUCUCUCUUUCCCUUUCUUUCUAUGUCACCAUUUUCACUUAAGUGGUUGGUCGAUACAAGGAAUUAACACUAAUGCUAUGUGCAAAUGGGAUAGGAAGAAAUGGCAGCAUGCAUUAUGCACACCUCUCCUCUGCUCAGACUCAAAUUAUCGAAACUUCAGAGGAAAAAUUUAAACUUUCCUACACCAGAAUCAGCUUGAGAGAAGAACCUAGUUGCCACCCCAGCCAGACACUCCCUUGCACCAUAUUUGCUUGUCUAAUGAUGUACUUGCUUAGAAGUUCCAGGGGCUAAUCUUGAAAUAAACCAGGCAUAGAGAUCCAGUUGUGGAAGUCUCCCCCACCUAGAAAUUGCCUCAAGGUGGUUAAUCUUCAACCCAACCAUUGUCAAAAUGGCCCCAGUUCAUUCUACAGGUGGACAACAACUCAAGAUAGCCAUUGGAGCAAGAUAUGCCGACCUCCACCCUGCACCACUCCCACAUGCUUCCCAUACCAAGUUUCCCUUCCCAACCCCCUUCGCUUAGCCUGAAAAUUUGAGAUGGUUCUUUGAGACCUAAGUCCAGCCAUUCUUCUCAAUGGCUAGCCUUUGAAUAAAACUGCUUUCCUCCAUUCCGAGGGUUCCUGUGGAAGCCACCAGCAC